RNAcentral lists this ribosomal RNA (261 nucleotides) under uncultured prokaryote. RNAcentral describes it as "partial 16S ribosomal RNA". It matches the Rfam family "Bacterial small subunit ribosomal RNA", at positions 524 to 784 of the family's 1533-position model. The record is from RNAcentral.
UACGUAGGUGGCAAGCGUUGUCCGGAUUUAUUGGGCGUAAAGGGAGCGCAGGCGGUGACUUAAGUCUGAUGUGAAAGCCCACGGCUCAACCGUGGAAGGUCAUUGGAAACUGGGUCACUUGAAUAUAGAAGAGGAAAGUGGAAUUCCAUGUGUAGCGGUGAAAUGCGUAGAUAUAUUGAGGAACACCAGUGGCGAAGGCGACUUUCUGGUCUAUUAUUGACGCUGAGGCUCGAAAGCAUGGGUAGCAAACAGGAUUAGAUA